This 481-nucleotide ribosomal RNA is filed under the name uncultured bacterium. RNAcentral's name for it is "partial 16S ribosomal RNA". It matches the Rfam family "Bacterial small subunit ribosomal RNA", at positions 28 to 523 of the family's 1533-position model. The record is from RNAcentral.
GACGAACGCUGGCGGCGUGCUUAACACAUGCAAGUCGAACGCUGAAGCCCUUUCGGGGGUGGAUGAGUGGCGAACGGGUGAGUAACACGUGGGUAAUCUGCCCUGCACUCUGGGAUAAGCCUUGGAAACGGGGUCUAAUACCGGAUAGGACACAUCGCCGCAUGGUGUGUGUGUGGAAAGUUCCGGCGGUGCAGGUUGAGCCCGUGGCCUAUCAGCUUGUUGGUGGGGUGAUGGCCUACCAAGGCGACGACGGGUAGCCGGCCUGAGAGGGUGACCGGCCACACUGGGACUGAGACACGGCCCAGACUCCUACGGGAGGCAGCAGUGGCGAAUCUCGCGCAAUGGGCGAAAGCCUGACGCAGCAACGCCGCGUGGGGGAUGACGGCCUUCGGGUUGUAAACCUCUUUCGACCGGGACGAAGGGUGACUGACGGUACCGGUAGAAGAAGCACCGGCUAACUACGUGCCAGCCGCCGCCGUAA